UGAGGAAUAUUGGUCAAUGGGCGAGAGCCUGAACCAGCCAAGUCGCGUGAAGGAAGACAGUCCUAAGGAUUGUAAACUUCUUUUAUACGGGAAUAACGGGCGAUACGAGUAUUGCAUUGAAUGUACCGUAAGAAUAAGCAUCGGCUAACUCCGUGCCAGCAGCCGCGGUAAUACGGAGGAUGCGAGCGUUAUCCGGAUUUAUUGGGUUUAAGGGUGCGUAGGUUGUUCGGUAAGUCAGCGGUGAAACCUGAGCGCUCAACGUUCAGCCUGCCGUUGAAACUGCCGGGCUUGAGUUCAGUGGCGGCAGGCGGAAUUCGUGGUGUAGCGGUGAAAUGCAUAGAUAUCACGAGGAACUCCGAUUGCGAAGGCAGCUUGCCAUACUGCGACUGACACUGAAGCACGAAGGCGUGGGUAUCAAACAGG
RNAcentral lists this ribosomal RNA (423 nucleotides) under Fusobacteriota bacterium. RNAcentral's name for it is "Fusobacteria bacterium partial 16S ribosomal RNA". It matches the Rfam family "Bacterial small subunit ribosomal RNA", at positions 355 to 776 of the family's 1533-position model. Lineage: Bacteria; Fusobacteriati; Fusobacteriota. The record is from RNAcentral.